RNAcentral lists this ribosomal RNA (520 nucleotides) under Bacillus sp. NASAb3. RNAcentral describes it as "bacterial SSU rRNA". It matches the Rfam family "Bacterial small subunit ribosomal RNA", at positions 949 to 1469 of the family's 1533-position model. The record is from RNAcentral. Lineage: Bacteria; Bacillati; Bacillota; Bacilli; Caryophanales; Bacillaceae.
AUUCGAAGCAACGCGAAGAACCUUACCAGGUCUUGACAUCCUCUGACAAUCCGAGAGAUAGGACGUCCCCUUCGGGGGCAGACUGACAGGUGGUGCAUGGUUGUCGUCAGCUCGUGUCGUGAGAUGUUGGGUUAAGUCCCGCAACGAGCGCAACCCUUGAUCUUAGUUGCCAGCAUUCAGUUGGGCACUCUAAGGUGACUGCCGGUGACAAACCGGAGGAAGGUGGGGAUGACGUCAAAUCAUCAUGCCCCUUAUGACCUGGGCUACACACGUGCUACAAUGGACAGAACAAAGGGCAGCGAAACCGCGAGGUUAAGCCAAUCCCACAAAUCUGUUCUCAGUUCGGAUCGCAGUCUGCAACUCGACUGCGUGAAGCUGGAAUCGCUAGUAAUCGCGGAUCAGCAUGCCGCGGUGAAUACGUUCCCGGGCCUUGUACACACCGCCCGUCACACCACGAGAGUUUGUAACACCCGAAGUCGGUGAGGUAACCUUUUAGGAGCCAGCCGCCGAAGGUGGGACA